GAGUCUGGCCGGAGUGGAGAGGGGGUCCUGGCGAGGUCGCUCCAGAGCCGGUGGUGGUGGCCCCACCUGAGUGACCCCAGCGUGCUCCCGAGAAAUAUAAUUUCUGCUUCACCUAUCAAAUUUCAUAGCAUUCCCUCAUUUUCAAUUUCUCCAGGACCAGAGACUCCCCCUUCUGUUCUGGUGAUUCUGUGGAGCCACCUGCCGAUCCUUGGGAAUUACAGAAGCUUCAGACAAUGGUGACACACCAUCUGACACACUGUUCCCAGGUGGGAG
Molecule: long non-coding RNA, 273 nt
Organism: Sorex araneus (European shrew)
Lineage: Eukaryota; Metazoa; Chordata; Mammalia; Eulipotyphla; Soricidae
Exons: 3
Source: RefSeq, a predicted model, not a curated record